GCUUUGCCUGUUUUAAAGCAGAAACAAGAACAGUAAGCGAGGUGUCAUUCUGAUUUUAAUGUUAGUGGGCUGGGAUUUAUUCUACUGACUCUCACAGAUUACUUGAAAAGAUAUUCAGCUUGAAAGGUAAUAUUUUUUCCUCACAUCUUGGUAUCUUGACAUAUUCUAAGCUCAUACAGCAUUACAACUCUUGGUAUGUUGCAGGCUCAUGAUAUAUUACGAGAACACUAAUGGUAAUACCUACUACCGAGGCGCAUAUGCAAGUAGAAACUCUUGCCUUGCCUGCGCAGAUGGAAGAAGUUAUAAGUGCAGAGACAACCACAGGCGUCUUGAUUCUUGCUAUUGCUUUCAGAAAUAGGCAGUCACCAAUUCGGACAAUUUUCAUAUUUGGAAUAUGAGCACCCCGAUCCAGAUAUCCAUGGCGAUCAAUAUGAACUCAAAAGGUCGAGAAGUUGUCCAGAUGAUCAGUUGCAGCCAGAGAUGAAAAUAUCAAUUAGGCAGGAUGAUGUUGCAAUGGGGCACCAUAAUUUCAAGAUAUCGAGUUCCAUAUCCUGCUACAAAUAUUCAAGAUGUAGAGCCCAGACCGUAUCAAAUGAUGGAAAGGAAGUUGCAGCUAAGCUAUGGCCGAUUCAUCUAGAGCAAUAUUUUGAUUUCUUCUGGGCCGAAUGACAGGAAUUUGCCAUCUCAGUUCAAUAACCUGUACACUUGAUCAUCGUAUUCUGUUUCUCUCUAAAUUCCAGGCCAUUCUAGCUGAUCCUGGCUUAGAAUGUGUUCGCUAGCAUUACCAUAUACUUUUUGAAUCAGGAUGGUAAUCCCGUAAUUUUGAUGCAGUUCACGUCUUUGUAAAUGUUCUUUAAUUCUUAUGAAAAGUUCGUAAUUCCGAACAUUUCUAACUCUAAUAUAUAUUAUUUUAUCUCCUUGGUUUCUUCUCAAA
This is a long non-coding RNA of Juglans microcarpa x Juglans regia, 934 nucleotides long. RefSeq lists it as uncharacterized. The record is from RefSeq and is a predicted model, not a curated record. The transcript is spliced from 2 exons. NCBI's taxonomy places the organism in Eukaryota, Viridiplantae, Streptophyta, Magnoliopsida, Fagales, Juglandaceae.